This 452-nucleotide long non-coding RNA is filed under the name Medicago truncatula (barrel medic). Its description in RNAcentral is "long non-coding RNA (MTRU_LNC001989)". Lineage: Eukaryota; Viridiplantae; Streptophyta; Magnoliopsida; Fabales; Fabaceae. The record is from RNAcentral.
AUGGUGAAGGUUAUAAGACUAUUAAACUACCAGGGAAUGACGAAUUUGAACCCAUACCAAGUGUUACAAGGUAUGAUGGUGAUGGUUAUAAGAGUAUGAAACUAUCGGGGAAUGAUGAGUUUGAACCCAGACCAAGUGUUACAAGGUAUGACGGUGACGGUUAUCAGAGUACAAAACUAUCGGUGAAUAAUGAGUUUGAACCUAUACCAAGUGUUACAAAGUAUGGCGGUGAUGGUUAUAAGAAUACCAAAUUAUCGGUGAAUAGUGAGUUUGAACCCAUACCAAGUGUUACAAGUUAUGGCAGUGAUGGCUAUAAGAGUAUGAAACUACCGGUUAAUGACGAGUUUGAACCCAGACCAAGUGCUACAAAGUAUGAUGGUGAUGGUUAUCAGAGUACAAAACUAUCGGUGAACAGUGAGUUUGAACCCAUACCAAGUGUUACAAGUUAUGGC